This is a non-coding RNA of Camelina sativa (false flax), 2590 nucleotides long. The record is from RefSeq and is a predicted model, not a curated record. NCBI's taxonomy places the organism in Eukaryota, Viridiplantae, Streptophyta, Magnoliopsida, Brassicales, Brassicaceae.
UUGACACAAACAUAGAGACACUCUUCUCUUCUUCACCACCUGAAACUGAAAGAGAGACAACAAAAAACAAAAAAAAAAAGAGAGAGAGGGUUUGUUCUAGUGUCGACGGAGAGCAAAUAUGCCCUAAUUCAGAGCCACGCCGAUUCGAUUAUCUCAUCGCUCCCAGAUUCCUCUCCGAUCUCCAUUAGCAUCGAGUCCGGUGAUGAUGAAUCCGUUCAGGAUCGUCUCGUCGACUCCUACUCUCGAACUGGCCUCUUCUCUUCUCCUCGAUUCCACUAAACGAUGGUUCCGGACACGAGCUUCUUUCUGUUCACAAUUGACUAGGGUCAACAGACAAAUCAGAGGUGUAUGUGUGUCGAAGGUAGAUGGAAUUUUGGGUGGUGAUUAACUCGCUUCUCGGUUAUAUUUGAGAGGCUUCCUUCAACAUUGGCAAAUUUCCUGAAGGUGUAGCUAACUCUCAACCUCCUAAACAGAUUUCAGAACUUCCGGAUGAAAGUUCUGAUGCGUAUCUAGAUGGCUCUGUUAUGGAGAAGGUGCUUCAUAGGCGAAGUAUGCAGAUGCGCAAUUUGCAGAGAGCUUGGCAGUGAGAUUUAUGGAAAGUGGUUGUCAGAUUUGGUGACAAGCGACCACAACGGGAGGUAAUACGCUAUAGUUUCCUUAUUCAGAUGUGGAGUUAUUGAAUAUGCAGCUUCUGGCGUUGUGGAUCAUCCUAAAACCAGUUGGAGAUUUCACAUGUCCUCCAAAAGGUGAAACGUUCUGUCUAUAAUAAAAUCUGCUUAAAGUUUUUUUGUUGCUUCUCUAGAUGGUUCACUUUCUUCACAGAAUCGGGGAUGAUGUACUAUAUGACGCAGCAACAACCACGAUGGAAUGGAAAUUUAGUAUCCUUUUCUUUACUGUCUUUUUUUUACCCGUGUGAAGUUAAUCCUUAUUCAGAUGUGGAGGUUAUUGUGUAUGCAGCUUCUAGAAUGUUAUCAUAGAACACCAUGAACACCAUGGAGACCACACUUAUCAAAGGCACCUCUUCUCCAGAGUCUACAAAUCAAGAAUUGCAUUCCAGCAGAGUCUAUGAAUAUGUAUCUGAGUUUUUACAACCUAACCAGCCUCAGCCUCGUGAAUUUGAAGUUACUCGCUUGCCGUUUUGAUCCAUCAAACUUGCAGUUGCGGAACUCUACAGAAUGCGCAACUGCAAGCUUUGAUGCAUCAAACCCGCAAGCGAGUAACUUCAAAUUCACGAGGCUGGUCAGGCUGUAAAAACUCAGAUACAUAUUCAGUACCAGUCGUGUAUAAAGUAUCAAUCAUACGUGUUACUAUCUAUGUUUUUGUUGAUGAGAUCCAUGAAAGGGGCAGAAACGGAGGUAGUGUAUUGAGUGGUGGUGGGAGUGCUCCACUUCCUGAGGCGACCGCUCAGAAUUGGGUUGAUAUGAUAAAUGAGUAUUAGAUGUUGGCAGGGAUCAUGCUCUGGUUAAGAGGAUUGGAGCAGCUACUGCAGUCGACGUCAGAGCCACUGGAAUUCCAUAAAGUUUGUAGAGAUCCCAGAUAGAGGUAGGUGUUAUGAGAGGAUCACAAAGUUGUGGAAGACAUGACAUAUGUAUCUUGUUUUACAAGGAGAGCCUCCUUCCAAAGAUAAGCAUGGCGUUCCGUUUCUUGGUGGCAGCAUGUGCCAAGCAUUAUGUGGGAGAUGGUGGGACAACCCGAGGAAUAAAUGAGAAUUACACGGUAACUGAUUUACAUGGUCUUCUUAGCGUUUACAUGCCGGCUUAUGGUGAUGCAAUUUACAAAGGUGUUACCAGAGUGAUGGUUUCAUAGUCAAGCUGGAAUGGUGAGAAGAUGCAUGCAAAUACUGAGCUUAUCACAAGGGUUCUGUUACUUCGGAUUGGCAAGGUGUUGAUAUGAUUUCCUCACCACCGCAUACAAACUACACAGCUUCUGUCCGAGCUGCAGUUCAAGCUGGAAUUUAUAUGGUCAUGGUCCCCUUCAACUUUACUGAGUUUGCCAAUGAUCUUACGUCCUUGGUGAAAAACAAUAAGUAAAUCCUGUCACCCGGAUUGAUGAUGCUGUCAGAAGAAUCCUGCUUGUCAAGUUCACUGAUGCUCUUUUUGGGACUUUAGUGGAAAACUUCUGUUACAUGGUUUAGAAACACAGAGCAGUUGCCUAUGAGCUAUGGAGAUUCACAUUAUGGCCCACUCUUUGUUUACGGGUCUGGUCUUGAAACCGAAUCUGUUGCGAGCAUUGUUGCUAGGUCAACCGCAGCUUCUGCUACUAGCACAAAGCCUUGCUUGAACAGAGUCCUUGUAUCUGCUACAAUUUGUCUACUUCUCUUCCCAAGCUUAAGCCGUGUUCUGAGAAGAUGAAAGCUACAAAAGCUUGGGAGUAGAUAAUUCAUUCGCUUAUCUGAUCCUGAAUCCUGUGUCAUUGCAACCUGGAUCAUCUUGAAUAUUUGAACGCUCUUCUAUUUACAUGCUACAGAGAGUAUGAGUAUAGACUGUUCUCUUUUUUUCAAUCCAUCAUGCUUGAAAAUAAAUUAAAUUAACGUUGUGGGCAAGAAUGGUAAACAAAAGAGAAGAAAGCAAGAGAACAACAUUAUGCUUUC